Paramuricea clavata is the source of this 581-nucleotide non-coding RNA. Lineage: Eukaryota; Metazoa; Cnidaria; Anthozoa; Malacalcyonacea; Plexauridae. The record is from the annotation of a GenBank genome assembly.
UCUGGAGUGAGAUGUCUUCUUGUCUUCACAUGACUGAAGUUCGCAUCAAAUUGUAAAUUGACUGAAAAAGCGUGAUUAAGGAUUAUUGAUGAAAAUAUUAUAGAUGAUAGAUGAGUGUAUUAUAAUACUGUUAUAUAGUCAAUUGGUUAGUUUUAGUCUGAGGCUUACGUCAGCAGACGGCGCUUGACGUCAAAACUGUUGACAUUUAGAAGAGCAAGAACUCAAAGUACAUUUCUCUGUUUUAUUUAGUUGCUACCAGAUACGAGAUGAUAGUUAUUAGACUCGCUAUUUGACCACCAUCUGCUGCACAAUAGUGUUUUAGUGAAAUAGGGACGAAGCUAGCCACAACAACAGCUCAUGCUAUGCAAAUUGUUAAUGAUUUGCAUCAUUCAAACCUUUAGAAAUGUAUUGAUGUCUAUAUACUCAGAUGCAGGUUUAUUGGCAUAGCAUGACCAGCUGCUAUGGCUAGCUCGCCACUGCAUUGAAGACUACCUACUGAUGAACAGAUGUAAAAAUAGUUAGCAGUGGAAAAUGUAGUGAUUAAAAAAAGAGGUAUUAAAUUUAUUACAAGUGAAAGUUCC